Long non-coding RNA from Tympanuchus pallidicinctus (lesser prairie-chicken), 3072 nucleotides. RefSeq lists it as uncharacterized. Lineage: Eukaryota; Metazoa; Chordata; Aves; Galliformes; Phasianidae. The record is from RefSeq and is a predicted model, not a curated record. The transcript is spliced from 2 exons.
ACAGCUCGCCAAGCCAACGGGAAAGGGGAGAGCGCUUCGGGAGGGAUCGGCCAAUCGGCGAGGGGAGGGGAGGGGCGGGAGCGGGGUGCCGCGCAAGGGCUGCCGGGAGUCGUAGUCACGGCGGAGCCACCGGCAGGAAGGGCAUGGCGGCGUGCGAGCUGCGCAAGCCCUGCUGCAAUCCCAGCCCGUCCCACCGGCCGCGAGCGCUGAGUGCAGCUCCCGCAGCGGCGCCGGGAGGGAAAAACGUGGAUACGUAUGAAGAGCCAGGGGGUGGCAGUGUUGGCAAAAGGCUGCAGCUCAACCUGCAUGGAAUGGCAGCGCCUGGCGGCGGGCUGCAAAGCAUCGCAGGCGUGCCGGGUUCAUUUCGCAGCCCAACGCCGUGAGCUCUGUUCGCAAAGCUUUUCGUUUAGAAUCUGAUUUUGCAGCCCGUGGGUAACCCCAGAAGUGAGUCCCUGCUCCCCCGUUGUGUGAAUGGCACAAAAGGGCCCUUUUACAUCAGGGGGAGGAUGGAGGAAUUCCCUGCACGCCUCGCCGUGUGAACGACAGAUCGACCCUUAGCCUCAAUGAUUUGCCUCCAUCUCACAAGCCAUUAAUUUCUUUAGCUGUGGUCAGAGUUCUUACAGAAGAUAAUUAAUUGUUGCCUUUGCGUCUGUCCAGACUCUUUUAAUUAAACAAAUAACGAUUGGUGUCCAUUCCACCACCCUACGGCAGGGCUUUAUCUUCUUUUCUCAGAUGCCAUCCUCACGGGGACCUGGAGCUCCACGCAAACCAGGCAGGCUGCAGAUGCCCUUGACAUGGAAGUGGAGAGGAAAUUGGGGCAGAGGAGGCUUCGUUGUUGGUUUUUUUUUUUUCCGGAGCUGGUGACAGAGAUAACUGAAAUGGAAGGGAGCUGAGGGGAGCUGCUGCUCCUGCACGGCAGUCUAAGGAGCUCACUGCAGCCACAGAGGGAACUGGAAGCACUGUGGGGAAUGUAAACAAGGCACUGUGCUCCCAGAGCCGCAUAAACACCUCAGAGAGCGACCUCAUGGCACAGGGCUGCUGGAUUUUCAGCCUGAAGAGAGCAAGGGGUAAAACUGCCUGCGCACUGCGCUUGUUCUGCCUACAGCACAGAAGGGAAAGAAGUUUAAGUCAGAUAGGAGGCACUGCUUAAUGCUGGCUAUAAAUACAGAGCUCCCAUUCUGCUCUCAGUUUACACAGAAAAGUUCAGUGUGCUUAUAUAUAUAUAUAUAAAACUUUAAAAAAUAAUGACAAAGUUCAGCUUGCACCGCAUGCCGCAGUGAAGGAGUCAGAGCACACGUGUGCAGGCUCACAGACAGCAGCCUUGCUCUGUGAGAGAGAAGCUGCACGAUGUGCUGCAGACAUCUGAGCAGCUGGAGCUGGACCAGGAUUUGUUUGCAGGUGGAAGUGGCUCAAAUAGAGCAGCUGAAAUGAAAUGUAAUGGCAUGCAUCCUUUAUUUCCCACUUCCCUUUGCUGACAGAUCAGAGGAAAAAGAAAAUCACGUGGCAGGGAAAGCCUGAUGCUCAUCCAUUUUGCUCAGCCACGUGUGAGUUGGAAGAGGGGAUGAGGGAACAAAGUGCAAACACGGAGCUGGUGGUGCUGAGUUAGUCUUCAUCAAAUAAAUACACAGAUGAGAAAGAAAGGGUCUAAUGGAGAAAUAGACUAUUAAUGUGUAAAAGCUGCUUUGUAGCCCGUGUGGCCUUCAGCCAGCAAGGUUUGUUUUCCUGGUUUCUUUGUGAAAACCUACAGCAAACACUUUCCUUCUUCUUGUGCGCCCGCCUGGCUUUACCUCCCUGCACAGCAUAAGCGAUGUUUACUUUUGAUGAUUAAUGUCUGCUGGGAAAUAUUCAGAUCAAAGGUACGACGGAACAGCAGAGCUCUAUCUAUAAGAGCACUGAAUUCUGCGUGACUUGUGUGUCAGCACAACUGCAGGCAUGUGCUGGGUCCUGUGUUGGGUGUGCUGGGUUGUGAAGGAGUGCUUCCAUAGCCUGGAGGAGGUGGGGUCAGAGCAAGCAGGGCCCAUUGCACGGCUGCUUGGAGGAAGGAGGGGAAUGCAUUUCCAGGGACGUUUGUCUUUCCAGGGAAGACAAUUAUGAUGUUAGAUAUGGAGGCAGCUGUAUCCACAGGGUGUGAUUUUGCUCUCUGAGAUACAACAAGCUCUGGUGUAUUAUAACUUAUAUAAUUUGCUUGAUUGGACACUUUUAAAGCUCUGUCUGCCCUCUCAUGCAGCUGCAUUGCUCUCCUUUUGCAGGCUAAGCAGCUUAAGCCUCAUUAUGCUCUCUUAAGCAAGUUCCACAACUCGCAGAGAGCAUCUCAGCCGGGCCAUAAAACUGCAGCACAGCACUGCAGCGUUGGCCGAUUUACUCUGGAAAACAGAUUGAAUCUCCAGGUCUCUGCGUCCCGAUGGGGGAGAAGCAGGAACAUCUUUCCUCUUUGUCACAAAUUUGCACCAAUUUCAAUCAUUCCCGGGGUGUGCAGAGAAUUGAAAGGCCUCUGUCUGCACAGUGCAGCCAAAGUAGCGAGCAGUCAGUUUGAUGCUGCAUCACAUAACAGCCGUGUGCCGGACAGUUGGUGCCAACCCACCACGAGUGCUGCUCAGCCCAGGCGUGAGGAGGUGGAAGAAUCCGACCCUGUUAUUUCAAGGCGACACUGUACCAGUUUUUGCUUCUCUUCCCUGUUUGUGGAAGAGAACCAGGGCCAGUGUUUGCUCCUGAACAAGCGUGCGGUUGUGCGCGAGCUCCUGCUGCAGUCCUGCUCCAGAUGAACGGCUGCCAUCUCGGCCAGGCCUCUCACCCAGAUAUAAAGAAGCUCUCUCGAAACGAAGAACAUUCUGGAUUUCGCACUUAAUUGGUAAAACAGAUUAAUUUGACUGCCGAGACCUGGAAGAAAGGAAUUGACGCACCUAGCUGGUGAUUCCCGUUAACAGAGGGCUCACGCUGAUUAUUUCCACCAGCAACACUUCCUGCCCAGCUCUGCCAGAGGACAAACGUCGGCGUUUCCUGCAGCCGUCCCCGAGCAGUUUGGGAACUGAUGCCAUCAACGGGAACAUCGCUGAUGUAAAGCAGCAGGAGCAA